AAAGCCUUUGACUAAUGACCCCAUCUUCUUCCCUUACACUUAUCACUGCUUUUUCCUCCUCCCUUUUUAGGUUAGAAACAAAACUUGCUAGAGGAAGAAGUGCUCUAUAUCUGAGUACACAAGCUUUUGCAAGCACCAUGAGGACAUGCCACAGUAUCCUGUGAUCCCAGGAAAAUGAAAGUCAUGUGAAGCAGAUAUAGACCAAGUUUACUGAAACUCCAUCUAGAGCAGCCGGUCCUCAACCACAAUACAGACAUGUAAGUGAGAAAUGCUCAUUACGUUUCAUGCUAGAUUCUUGAGGUGUUUGUUAUGAAACAUUUGUCUUUAGCUGACUGAGAUAACAUGAACUCUGUUGAUUGUAGAAUAAUGCCACAAAAUUAAAAGACAAUGAUGGAAAUCACUCUGAGAUCAACAGUAUAAUUUUGGGAUUAGUGUGCAAAAUGCAACUGGAUGCGCUAUUCUGAGGACCAAAUAUACCUCUAUUAGUUAUUGAAAAAGCCUAAAAAUUCCCCUGUAAUACUGAGAUUUAAAACAAAUUUUAACACCAUCUCCACAAAUUCUUCAGAAAUGAGCCUUUUUGGACAUGUGGCCAUGAUGUUAGACAUUCAUUGACCUGGGAGCCUUUGGUCCUGGGACCUGGGAGCCUUUUUGGACAUGUGGGGCCAUGAUGUUAGACAUUCAUUGACCUGGGAGCCUUUGGUCCAAAUUCUACAGGCACUCAGCUUCUGAUAUGAUACUGGACAUGUAAAGUUUUUGGAACAUGUUACCAACACAAACAAAAAAAAUGGAAAAUUUCAACAUUUACUAUUGUAUAGCCUGAAGGACAGAGAAACAUUUUUAGAACACAUUAUAGAAACAAAGGUGGAUAAUAUACUUCAAAUGCAGAGAAAUGCCAUCAGCUAUGUAAGGUUCAGCAGGCUGUGCCAUUGACAUUUUUCAUGGACACAAAACCACGAGAGACCCCAUUGAUCACUGACCUAGAAGGGACACGCAGAAGGACAAAGCAUUGUUAAGAUUCAUAUGAGGAGUAAAAUGUUCAGAUUCAGCAAUUUGUACAAACACCCAUUCCCCUUCCAGCAGGAGGUUGUGCGUGGCUUGCAAUUUUGAGCCAAGAUGGAAGAGGAAGAGGAAAAUUGAAUAAAGUAGAAUGAAUUAAGUUGAUCUGUGUAAAA
RNAcentral lists this long non-coding RNA (1172 nucleotides) under Felis catus (domestic cat). RNAcentral's name for it is "lncRNA (ENSFCAG00000047353.1)". The record is from RNAcentral. Lineage: Eukaryota; Metazoa; Chordata; Mammalia; Carnivora; Felidae.